Molecule: ribosomal RNA, 279 nt
Filed under: uncultured bacterium
Lineage: Bacteria
Description: partial 16S ribosomal RNA
Rfam family: Bacterial small subunit ribosomal RNA
Source: RNAcentral
UGCCAGCAGCCGCGGUAACACGGGGGGCGCAAGCGUUAUUCGGUAUCACUGGGCUUAAAGAGUUCGUAGGCGGCUAUGUAGGUCAGACGUGAAAUCCCACGGCUCAACCGUGGAACUGCGUUUGAAACCACAUAGCUUGAGGGAGAUAGAGGUGAGCGGAACAGAUGGUGGAGCGGUGAAAUGCGUUGAUAUCAUCUGGAACACCGGUGGCGAAAGCGGCUCACUGGAUCUCUUCUGACGCUGAGUAACUAAAGCUAGGGUAGCGAACGGGAUUAGAUA